This 438-nucleotide ribosomal RNA is filed under the name uncultured bacterium. RNAcentral's name for it is "partial 16S ribosomal RNA". It matches the Rfam family "Bacterial small subunit ribosomal RNA", at positions 339 to 795 of the family's 1533-position model. The record is from RNAcentral.
CUACGGGACGCUCCAGUGAGGAAUAUUGCACAAUGGGGGGAACCCUGAUGCAGCAACGCCGCGUGGAGGAUGACGCAUUUCGGUGUGUAAACUCCUUUUAUAUGUCAAGAAAAUGACGGUAGCAUAUGAAUAAGCACCGGCUAACUCCGUGCCAGCAGCCGCGGUAAUACGGAGGGUGCAAGCGUUACUCGGAAUCACUGGGCGGAAAGGACGCGUAGGCGGGUUGGAAAGUCAGGUGUGAAAUCCUACAGCUUAACUGUAGAACUGCACUUGAAACUUCUAAUCUAGAGUAUGGGGGGGGAGAUGGAAUUAGUGGUGUAGGGGUAAAAUCCGUAGAUAUCACUAGGAAUACCUAAAGCGAAGGCGAUCUCCUGGAACAUUACUGACGCUAAGGCGUGAAAGCGUGGGGAGCAAACAGGAUUAGAUACCCCCGUAGUC